Triticum aestivum (bread wheat) is the source of this 1545-nucleotide long non-coding RNA. RefSeq lists it as uncharacterized. The record is from RefSeq and is a predicted model, not a curated record. NCBI's taxonomy places the organism in Eukaryota, Viridiplantae, Streptophyta, Magnoliopsida, Poales, Poaceae. The transcript has 3 exons.
GAGAUAGAAAGAUGAUGGGGCGAUUUGGUGCCCGAGCCCAGCUGAUCCCGAAAUCGUCGGCGCCCAUUGCUGGCUCGGAUCCACAUAAAUCGCUCUGACGCAUCUGACGACUAGUUGGGAAAAAGGGACCUACGGAGGAAUACGGUAGGAAACAGUAGCUGUUGUGUGGGCCCAGAACGUAUGGGCGGGACGGCGUUCGAGCACGAGAACUCUGGUCCGUGGACCAGAUCGUUAGAAGCCGAUCCGAGCCAGGGAUCAGAUAAGGUGUACUUGACGGGGGUGGACAGCUACGCCGUCUGUCGAUCAUUCCAGAACCCUAGCCGUCCCUCUUUUCCCCGCACACCACGCUAUCCCCGUGCUGAGAAGGUGCUCGCGGCGGCGCUCGUUUUACACCGGCGACGACGCGAAAUAAUUGAGGAUUCUGGGCUGGAGUUUUUGCUCGAUGCCGUUGAGAGGUUCCCAUUGCGGGAGGAGUUCGCCGACAACCUUGAGCACCCAGAUCCGAUUCCUCUGGUAUUGUUGCCCAAGUGCCCAACAACGGGGCUGGCCUCCUGAAGACUCGAAUGCUGGGUCUGGCUGUGCUCAGCAGCUUGGGGGCGAUGGGACUGUUAGAGAACGAGUUGGGGUCCGCCUCGUCUGGAUGGCUCUCUGAUGAAGUCGGCGCAGUCGACUGACAGUUAAUCCAGAAACACCUGGCUGGGCGAAAAGGUGAUGGAUAUACUUCAUUUGGAGGAGAUCCGUGAGAAACAUAUACUCAAGCGAUGGACGAAGAACGCGAGAGACAUACUUCCCCAACACCUGGUGCAGUACCAGAAGGACAAUUCAGUUAACUUAUUGUUCACGUGAAGGAACUCGAUGCUAUACCUGAAAGCCAUGGAAGUUGUGCGGAUGGGCAAUGCGAGUGCAGAAUCAUUCGAGCACACGUAUGCUGGUCUUGAAGCUUUGUUGAUUAGUGGCACACCUUUAGCAGAGAAAAGGGAUAGUUUGGGUUUUGAGGACCGUCUAGCAGGUUUGGCACGGGUUGAUUGCCAGGCCAUGGAGAGGUUGUAUUUGUUGGAGCCAACGGUGCGUACCAAUGCCAUAGUGCUGGGCACUUUGUUAGUGUGAAUGUCCUUGAAGGUCUAGCAGCUCCAGAAAAGCAUAGGUGGGUCGGCAGACCAAAAAAAUAGCAGGGAGAAGGUGCCGUAUGAGGGUCUAAGCAAGCGUACCAGGUUCUGCAGCAUUUGUCAAUGCGAGGGGAACAAGUGACUACCUGCCCCGAAAUAGGAGAUGCCCCCAAGAAACCACGGAAACCAGGAAAAUGCAAGAACUGUGGUAUGGAAGGGCACCGCCGCACACACUUGCAUGAGGCCGCUCGGUGCUGCUGAGAAAUGAGUUCCGAGUAUUGUCUGUAUUUGUACUUCUUUCGAGGAUUUUAUAGUGUGUUUAAGUGAGCAUUGCUCCAUGCUUAUUCCUCGUUAUCAGAGACAUGAGACACUUAUUUUGGGACGGAGGGAGUAUGUGGUUGCCUCAAGGAAAUAGUGAUCACGUCUCAGGUUCAGACCA